ACCACUCCGCCAACCACCAGGAUGCCCGGCAUCAGAACAUUCCAGGCAUUCCCGUGAUUGGCAGAUAGCAGGUUGAUUGACAUGUCGGACCCCGCGAACACCGGGUACUGUUUUGACCAUUUCUGCCUGUCACACCACCCUGGAAUAUUGACCUCUGCCUGCACUGACCCCAAGACUGCCUGCCGUUCUGUACCUUAUGGACUCUGAUCUGGAUUACUGACCUCUGCCUGCCCUUGACCUGUUGUUUUGUCUGCCCCCUGUUCUAGUAAUACACUUUUGUUACUUCGACACUGUCUGCAUCUGGGUCUUCUCCAAUAUUUCCAGUGCAAUCCCUCCUGGUUUUGAACCUUGCCUGUCCUGAUGCCAUAUCCGCCUGCCUGACCACUCUGCCUGUUCUGACCUCGAGCCUGCCUAUCCCCUGUUACUGUUUGGACUUGGAGCUGUUCACUUAACCCCUGCCUGUCCUGACCUCGAGCCUGCCUAUCGCCUGGUACUGUUUGGACUCGGAGCUGUUCACUGAACCCCUGCAUGUCCUGACCUCGAGCCUGCCUAUCACCUGAUACUGUUUGGACUCUGACCUGGUUUAUGAACUCUCGCCUGUCCCCGACCUGCCUUUUGCCUACCCCCUUUUGGUGUAAUAAAUAUCGGAUCUCAACCAUCUGCCUCCUGUGUCUGCAUUUGGGUCUCGCCUUGUGCCCUUACACCCACAAUGGAUGGAAGAAAUGUCAAGUUAUGUAUCACUAGAUUGUACUUAUUACAAAACUAAAGGUAUACUGUGGAACUUUCAUAAGGUCUGGAUGCCAUAUGGAAUACAGUCAACAAAAGGAGUCUGUAUUGAAAAUAUGCCCACGUCAUGGGAGAUACCUAUUAGGCAAUCCCUAGCUGCUGUGCUGCUCAGUCCUAGUCUUGGGGGUCUGCCGUACUGUUGGUUGACACUGGUCUUGGCCUUACACACCUGAAACUAACAAUGAAUGUUGGUUUGGUGUGUUGGGUUGGUGCGCUGGGUUGGUGUGUUGGGUUGGUGCGCUGCAGGGACAUAGACCCUUAGGGGCAGGACAAUGGGACCCAGCUACAUUGUGUGCAAGUAAAAAAUAUAUGAAUAUAUAUGUUUCUGUGUGUUAAUGUGUAUGUAUUUUUUUAUUAAACAUUUUAUUUUUCCAAACCUUUCCUUGAGAGAAAAAGAUAAAAGGAAGUUGUGUUGGGGCAUGCAGUC
Oncorhynchus masou masou (cherry salmon) is the source of this 1213-nucleotide long non-coding RNA. RefSeq lists it as uncharacterized. The transcript is spliced from 3 exons. NCBI's taxonomy places the organism in Eukaryota, Metazoa, Chordata, Actinopteri, Salmoniformes, Salmonidae. The record is from RefSeq and is a predicted model, not a curated record.